Molecule: non-coding RNA, 28 nt
Filed under: Bombyx mori (domestic silkworm)
Lineage: Eukaryota; Metazoa; Arthropoda; Insecta; Lepidoptera; Bombycidae
Source: RNAcentral
UAAUGCAUAUAAAAUUGGUGUGAAUUUC